RNAcentral lists this unclassified non-coding RNA (402 nucleotides) under soil metagenome. RNAcentral's name for it is "partial contains 5.8S ribosomal RNA, internal transcribed spacer 2, and large subunit ribosomal RNA". The stretch from base 1 to 121 matches the Rfam family "5.8S ribosomal RNA", at positions 35 to 154 of the family's 154-position model. The record is from RNAcentral.
GAUGAAGAACGUAGCGAAAUGCGAUAAGUAAUGUGAAUUGCAGAAUUCAGUGAAUCAUCGAAUCUUUGAACGCACCUUGCGCCCUUUGGCUAUUCCGAAGGGCAUGCCUGUUUGAGUAUCAUGAACACCUCAACUCCUCAUGGCUUGCCAUGAUGAGCUUGGACUUGGGGGUCUUGCUGGCCUGUGGUCAGCUCCUCUCAAAUGAAUCAGCUUGCCAGUGAUUGGUGGCACCACAGGUGUGAUAAACAUCUACGCUUGUGGUUCCCCACCAUGUAACCUUUAGCGAUAGAGGUUCGCUGGAGCUCACAAAUGUCUUUCCUCAGUGAAGACAGCUCUUUGAUUGUUUGAUCUCAAAUCGGGUAGGACUACCCGCUGAACUUAAGCAUAUCAAUAAGCGGAGGA